Molecule: long non-coding RNA, 936 nt
Filed under: Marmota monax (woodchuck)
Lineage: Eukaryota; Metazoa; Chordata; Mammalia; Rodentia; Sciuridae
Source: RNAcentral
AUUAAACUGCCGCGUGACGGGCGUGCAGACGGGGAGCAGGUCUGAAGGCAGAGAGCACGCCCGGCCCUUCUUGCCCGACUGGCACAGAGGCUGAGGGAAGCUCCUGGUUCACGCGAGGUUCACAUCUACUGUGGGAUUUUGGCCAGUAUCUCAGGAGGUCCCGUUAAAUCCCAACGUAGGUAGCAGGCAGUGAGGCACCCCAGGGAAAUCAGCUGUUUCUAUCCCACGGGAAAAUAAAUAGCAUUAACAGAGGAAAACACCAAGCACAAGCCUGAUUUUAAAAUGUAUUCUGACGGGGGAAUUCAGUAACAGGAACUAUGAGGGACAAGCCUUUUCAUAGGUGAGAUGUGGAUUCUUAAAUAACAAGAUCAUAACCGGAUUUUUAUAUUUGUAUUUCAAAGGAAUGGAAGCUCUCAGAUACGGACUCGUGUCCAAGCACAAAUGCUUGUCAACAUCUCUGUGAAGUCUUGUGGGAAAUGUGACCCGUGCAGGAGAGCAGUCCUCCCGUGAUGGGGACGAGCCGGCCACCCUGGACACACUGGGCCGGGAACGCAGGUUCACGCCCCCAGUGGCAGGCCGCGUCUGUGAGAGGGCGCGGGAGGACUGUGCAGCCCAGGUGGCGGGCACGCUCUGUUCACCGGGUCUGGGGCUGUCCCGUGUGGCCAGGACAAAUGGCAAAAGCAGCUUGGGGUCUGCUUUGAUUUGAACCCUACUGAGAUAUGCUGCUGUGGAGUCUAUAGUGUGCUUUGGAAAGCCUCCUCUCAGCCGCUGCCAAUGGCUCUGCAGGUCCGCCGGGUGAACUGUUUCUCUGGCCCAGCAAAGUAAUGACAACCACCAAAAAAUAACUGUGGUGACAGAUCUCUGCUUGUGUCGCGUGGUAGAAAGUGUCCUUUACAGACCGAAGGUUGGGCAGGCACAUGGCUGGGGUGGAACCGU